This 1496-nucleotide ribosomal RNA is filed under the name Deferribacteres bacterium JdFR-76. Its description in RNAcentral is "bacterial LSU rRNA". It matches the Rfam family "Bacterial large subunit ribosomal RNA", at positions 1466 to 2925 of the family's 2925-position model. The record is from RNAcentral. Lineage: Bacteria; Pseudomonadati; Deferribacterota; Deferribacteres.
GGGGGGACGCAGGAGUGAAAGGCCAGCCGGGUGAUGGACGUCCCGGUCUAAGCGUGUAGGAGGGCACCGCAGGCAAAUCCGCGGUGCCAGGACUCCGAGGCGCGAAUGGGAGGGCUUAGCCCACAAACUGGCCCUAAUCACACUGCCAAGAAAAGCCUCGGGCGGCAAGAUCUGCAGGUGACCGUACCGGAAACGGACACACGUAGGCGAGGAGAAUAUCCAAAGGUGCUCGAGAUAGCCGUGGUCAAGGAACUCGGCAAAAUGGCCCCGUAACUUCGGGAGAAGGGGUGCCUCAAGUAGGUGAAUCCCCACGCGGGAGGAGCCGAACGAGGCCGCAGUGAAGAGGCCUGGGCGACUGUUUACUAAAAACACAGGUCUAUGCCAAGUCGUAAGACGACGUAUAUGGACUGACACCUGCCCGGUGCCGGAAGGUUAAGGGGAGGGGUUAUCCCGACUUCGGUCGGGAGAAGCUCUGAACCGAAGCCCCGGUAAACGGCGGCCGUAACUAUAACGGUCCUAAGGUAGCGAAAUUCCUUGUCGGGUAAGUUCCGACCUGCACGAAUGGUGUAACGACUUGGGCACUGUCUCGACCACGGCCUCGGCGAAAUUGUAGUCCCGGUGAAGAUGCCGGGUACCCGCAGCAGGACGGAAAGACCCCGUGAACCUUCACUACAGCUUAGCAUUGGGUUUUGGCAUGGCAUGUGUAGGAUAGGUGGGAGGCUGUGAAGCCCGGACGCCAGUUCGGGUGGAGCCGCCCUUGAAAUACCACCCUUGUCAUGUCGAGAUCCUAACUCGCCCGACUGAAGCGUCGGGGAGGACAGUGCUAGGUGGGUAGUUUGACUGGGGCGGUCGCCUCCUAAAAGGUAACGGAGGCGCCCAAAGGUCCCCUCAGCACGGUUGGUAAUCGUGCGUAGAGUGCAAAGGCAUAAGGGGGCCUGACUGCGAGGCACACAGGCCGAGCAGGCGCGAAAGCGGGGCUUAGUGAUCCGGCGGUAGCGUGUGGAAGCGCCGUCGCUCAACGGAUAAAAGGUACUCCGGGGAUAACAGGCUGAUCAGGCCCAAGAGCUCACAUCGACGGCCUGGUUUGGCACCUCGAUGUCGGCUCAUCGCAUCCUGGGGCUGGAGAAGGUCCCAAGGGUUUGGCUGUUCGCCAAUUAAAGCGGUACGUGAGCUGGGUUUAGAACGUCGCGAGACAGUUCGGUCCCUAUCCGCUGCGGGCGUAGGACAUUUGAGGGGAGCUGCUCCUAGUACGAGAGGACCGGAGUGGACGCACCUCUGGUGUACCAGCUGUUCCGCCAGGAGCACCGCUGGGUAGCCAUGUGCGGACGGGAUAAGCGCUGAAGGCAUCUAAGCGCGAAGCCCACCCCAAGAUAAGAUGUCCCUCCCGAUUAUUCGGGACUGAAGGCCCCUCGGAGACUACGAGGUUGAUAGGCCGCAGGUGUAAGCGCGGUAACGCGUUGAGCCGAGCGGUACUAAUAGGCCGUGCGGCUUAACCG